RNAcentral lists this ribosomal RNA (449 nucleotides) under uncultured bacterium. Its description in RNAcentral is "bacterial SSU rRNA". It matches the Rfam family "Bacterial small subunit ribosomal RNA", at positions 28 to 524 of the family's 1533-position model. The record is from RNAcentral.
AGUCGAACGCUGGCGGCAGGCCUAACACAUGCAAGUCGAACGAACCCUUCGGGUUAGUGGCGGACGGGUGAGUAACACGUGGGAACGUACCUUAGGUUCGGAACAACACAGGGAAACUUGUGCUAAUGCCGAAUGUGCCCUUCGGGGGAAAGAUUUAUCGCCUUUAGAGCGGCCCGCGUCUGAUUAGCUUGUUGGUGAGGUAAAGGCUCACCAAGGCUACGAUCAGUAGCUGGUCUGAGAGGAUGAUCAGCCACACUGGGACUGAGACACGGCCCAGACUCCUACGGGAGGCAGCAGUGGGGAAUCUUGCGCAAUGGGCGAAAGCCUGACGCAGCCAUGCCGCGUGAAUGAUGAAGGUCUUAGGAUUGUAAAAUUCUUUCACCGGGGAAGAUAAUGACGGUACCCGGAGAAGAAGCCCCGGCUAACUUCGUGCCAGCAGCCGCGGUAAU